Molecule: long non-coding RNA, 488 nt
Organism: Oncorhynchus tshawytscha (Chinook salmon)
Lineage: Eukaryota; Metazoa; Chordata; Actinopteri; Salmoniformes; Salmonidae
Exons: 5
Source: RefSeq, a predicted model, not a curated record
CUGAAUAAUUGGGGGAGAAGGGCCUUGGUCAGGGAAGUGACUAGCAAAAGACAAUUUUUUUUUUGAAUGGCUUGAGUAUCUGCAUGAGUGCCUGGACAUCACAUGAGUUGAGAUGAUUUUGCCCAGUGUCCACCGACCCUGAUUCCCAUUGUUUUUGGGUGCUUCAGUCGAGUGAUGAAUCAAUUCCUGAUGGCAAGAGUCACAACUUUUGGCUCUCAGCUGGGACUCUAAUGUCAGCACGCUCCUUAGCUUCCUCCAGCCCAUGCUGCACCUUCCUGAACUUGGCCAGCCUGCCUCUUGUAGGUCUUAACCUUCAACUGCAGCUUGUCCACCAAAUCCUACAGCCUGGAAACAUUCUUCUUGUCCUCAGUUUGAGACCUGCAGGUCCUUGACUGUUACCUUCAGGUUAUUCUUCAUCCUCUCUAGGUGAGUGCUGGUGUCCUGCUUCAGCUCAUCAAUGCAGCAUGGUUUGACAUAUUUGUUCAUAG